Cornus florida is the source of this 3250-nucleotide RNA transcript. It is a transcript of the gene named heat shock 70 kDa protein 16, with no coding region annotated. Lineage: Eukaryota; Viridiplantae; Streptophyta; Magnoliopsida; Cornales; Cornaceae. The transcript is spliced from 11 exons. The record is from RefSeq and is a predicted model, not a curated record.
CACCAGACCCUCUCUUUCUCUACUCUCUUGUCCGGCCAACCUUUUGUGUUUACCUUUGCUUUUAAAUCCAAUAGCAUCCUAUACACAGAUAUAUAUAGACAUGUAUAGAAGUUUGUAGAUAGAUCUUCGAGAAUUGUCCUCUUUAAAUUCGCAACCACUUCGGAGACAUUCUCUCUCAUCCACCCCCUCAUCUCCUCUCUCCGUUUCUAGGGUUUCCCUUUUUCUUUGUUCAACCAGGUGUUGCCGUCAUUUUGGCGUCUAUUUUUGUUGUUUUUGUCAAAACUUGUGAGGUCUGUAUUCGGUUCAGCUGAAAUGAGUGUGGUGGGAUUUGAUAUUGGAAACGAGAACUGUGUGAUUGCUGUUGUAAAGCAGCGGGGGAUUGAUGUUUUGUUGAAUGAUGAAUCGAACCGCGAAACACCCGCUGUGGUGUCAUUUGGUGAGAAUCAAAGGUUCUUGGGUGCAGCAGGGGCUGCAUCUGCAACCAUGAACCCGAAAUCGACAAUCUCUCAGGUGAAGAGAUUGAUUGGUAGACAGUUCAGGGAACCUGAUGUCCAGGAUGACCUUAGGCGGUUCCCUUUCGAGACCUCAGAGGGUCCUGACGGUGGCAUUUUAAUACAUUUACGUUAUUUGAAUGAGAAACAUACUUUUACCCCGGUUCAGAUUUUGGCAAUGUUGUUUGCACAUUUAAAGCAGAUUGCUGAGAAAAAUAUUGAGAUAGCCAUUUCAGAUUGUGUAAUCGGGAUACCAUCAUACUUUACGGAUUUGCAAAGACGUAUGUAUUUGAAUGCCGCGGAGAUUGCUGGGCUGAAGCCACUAAGAUUGCUGCAUGACUGUACUGCUACUGCACUUGGCUAUGGCAUUUACAAGACUGACUUCUCCAAUGCAGGCCCAACUCAUGUUGUGUUUGUCGACAUUGGCCAUUGUGAUACACAGGUGGCUGUUGCAUCAUUUGAAUCUGGACAUAUGAAGAUACUAUCCCAUGCUUUUGAUAGGAACUUGGGCGGGAGAGACUUUGAUGAGGUUUUAUUCAGAUAUUUUGCAGCACAAUUCAAGGAACAGUACAAUAUUGAUGUUUAUUCUAAUGCAAGGGCUUCUAUUAGGCUUAGGGCGGCUUGUGAGAAAUUGAAAAAAGUCCUGAGUGCAAAUGCGGAGGCACCACUUAAUAUCGAAUGCUUGAUGGAUGAGAAAGAUGUUAGAGGUUAUAUUAAAAGGGAGGAUUUUGAGAAGCUGUCGUCAGACUUGUUGGAGAGGAUUAGUAUUCCUUGUCGUAAGGCUUUGGCUGAUUGUGGUCUGAGUACAGAGAAGAUUCAUAUUGUUGAGCUUGUUGGAUCAGGAUCUCGGAUACCAGCUAUUACAAGGAUUUUAACUACUAUUUUCAGGAAAGAACCCAGCCGGACUAUAAAUGCAAGUGAGUGCGUGGCUCGUGGUUGUGCUCUUCAAUGCGCAAUGCUUAGCCCAAUAUUCCGCGUCAGGGAGUAUGAGGUCCAGGAUUCAUUUCCUUUCUCCAUCGGAUUUUCGUCAGAUGGAGGUCCAAUCUGCACGCUAUCAAAUGGCAUCUUGUUUCCAAGAGGCCAUCCAUUUCCAAGUGUUAAAAUGCUUACAUUGCAUAGAAAUAAUACGUUCCAAUUGGAAGCCUUCUAUGCUGAUCAGAAUGAAUUGCCUUCCGGUGUAUCGCCUAAAAUUAGCAGUUUUACGAUUGGCCCAUUCCAAGUUCCCCAUACGGAAAAAGUGAAGGUCAAAGUUAAAGUUCAGCUAAAUCUCCAUGGAAUUGUUACUGUAGAGUCAGCCUCACUUUUAGAAGAUCACAGGGACGAUUCUAUUUCGAGGAGCAAUGCUCACUUGUCUUCAGAGAAGUCAGAAGCUGGCAAUCAUGGUUCUUCUGAUGUAUCAAAUAAUGUUGAAGCUACCCAUUUUGCACAAUCCAGUGCUUCAUCGACAUCCACUGCUGAUUCAAUGAGAAAGGACAAGGCCGUCCAGAGACAGGACGUACCAGUUAGUGAGAGUGUUUUUGGUGGAAUGACAAAGGAUGAGCUCGUACAAGCUCUAGAGAAAGAACUUCAGUUGGCCCAGCAAGACAUAAAGAUAGAGCAGAUUAAGGAUAAAAAGAACACCUUGGAGUCUUAUGUCUACGACACGCGCAAUAAGCUCUUGAAUACGUACCGAAGCUUUGCCACUGAAUCAGAGAGGGAGGGGAUUUCUAGGAAUCUACAGCAGACAGAGGAAUGGCUCUAUGAUGAUGAAGAUUAUGAAUCUGAACAUGUUUAUAAUGAGAAACUGAAUGAUCUUAAAAAGUUGGUGGAUCCUAUUGAGAACCGAUACAAGGAUGAAGAGUCUCGUCCACAAGCAACAAGGGCUCUAUUAAAUUGUAUUGUGGAACAUCGGAUGGCUGUAGGAUCACUUUCAGCCAUUGAGAGAGACGCGGUUUUUCAUGAAUGCAAUAAAGCAGAGCAGUGGCUGAGAGAAAAAACCCAGCAACAGGAUUCAUUACCCAAAACUGCUGACCCAAUACUAUGGUCAAGUGAUAUCAAGAGAAAAACUGAGGCUCUUGACGCGAUGUGCAAACAUAUAAUGAGACCCAAGGCUUCACCCACAAAACCAGAGGACAGCGUGGACUCAGGGCAGAGAAGCAAGCAGGAUGAGAUGCGAGUAGAUUGAUGUACAUAGAUCUACAGAGACCUGUGACAUGAAGGAUUUUGAAUUCGGAAACAAUCAGAUCAGAUUCAGUAGAUUGGUGUGGACUUUGCUCAAAUUAGUAACCUAUUGAGUUAUCUUUUUCCUAUCAACAAAUGCAGAAUCUCAACAUUCUUCGGGAAGUUGCCACAGUUAUGCUUGGAACAAUUUGGCUCGGAGCCUGUGCUAGUGAAUUGAGUGUUUGCUAUAUUCUUAUUGUUGGUAUAAACAGUUGUUUAACAUUUAUACAGAAUAUGUAAGCAUUCAAGUAUAAGGACUUGUCAUUAUGUCAUGUUGAUAUCAUGUUCAGUUAGUUCUUUCAUUAUGUCAUGUUGAUAUCAUGUUCAGUUAGUUCUUUCGAAAGCAUAUACCUUGAAGCUACAUGAAUGACUUAAACUUGAUAUAUUUGCUUAUUGGAUAGUUUCUCUUACAAUGUUGUCAUUAUUUAUUUUGGGAUGACAACAUAUAAUUUUCUGUGCAUGCAACAUCCAAUCGUAAAACCGCUUUUUCUAUUCAUCGAUCAUGACUUGUUUCUUUUGUGGUUUUAGUUUUUUAACGAGUAGUUGUUUCUCAUCUUGUU